AUUGAACGCUGGCGGAAUGCUUUACACAUGCAAGUCGAACGGCAGCACGGGGGCAACCCUGGUGGCGAGUGGCGAACGGGUGAGUAAUACAUCAGAACGUGCCCGGUCGUGGGGGAUAACGUAGCGAACGUUACGCUAAUACCGCAUACGAUCUGAGGAUGAAAGCGGGGGACCUUCGGGCCUCGCGCGAUCGGAGCGGCCGAUGUCAGAUUAGGUAGUUGGUGGGGUAAAGGCCUACCAAGCCGACGAUCUGUAGCUGGUCUGAGAGGACGACCAGCCACACUGGGACUGAGACACGGCCCAGACUCCUACGGGAGGCAGCAGUGGGGAAUUUUGGACAAUGGGCGCGAGCCUGAUCCAGCCAUUCCGCGUGCAGGACGAAGGCCUUCGGGUUGUAAACUGCUUUUGUAUGGAACGAAAAGGCUCUGGCUAAUACCUGGGGCUCAUGACGGUACCGUAAGAAUAAGCACCGGCUAACUACGUG
Molecule: ribosomal RNA, 484 nt
Filed under: uncultured bacterium
Lineage: Bacteria
Description: partial 16S ribosomal RNA
Rfam family: Bacterial small subunit ribosomal RNA
Source: RNAcentral